AAAAUUAGAGAGAACAACAUGGCGGCUGAUGCGAAAAAUGACGUUGGAAGCAAGAUUGGCUGUAGUUUGUGUCCAGAACCUGUACGUCAUUGGUACUUUUAGCCUCAUAUGGGUUUAUAAACUUGUGAUCCCUUACUGAGUGGUUCGAAAAUUUGAGGGAAAUGGCUGAAGUUGGUUUAAAACGCUGGGAAUGGUGAAUGUUUAUGCCCCCACGUGUCACUUGGAAUACAUGUUACUAGUGGUUACAGAAAAGCGAUCUUCAACUUGCAAGAGUUCAGCUGUAGGUAGACAGACUUUAUGAUGGAAUUACUGAUCAGCUGACUGACUGUAAACAGGGGAUUGUUUGCAGAGACCUCGAUUGUACCUGGACUGUUCGGGAUAUGAACAUGAACUGGAAGAUAUAUCGCAACGAUAAGUUCAAAAGAAGGUUAAGAUAACUCAGAGUUUUAAAACAAUUUUAAAAAAAAGAGGCUUAAAUGGGAAGAAAACAAGGAAUGCACAAGCGGUGGACGAAAGGUUGCGAGAAGGAACAAAGCGGAAUGAAAAGGCCCAAUACAGAAUCGGAGUGGAAAGGAAGGAGAAAUGUCAAGAAUAUCUCACUCUCUCUUGCAAGACUUGUACAUGUACUUUUAUAGCUUUACCGUUGUUUUUAUUAAGCUCGUACACUUGUACAGUGUAGUGCAACUGGAGAGAAAGCGCAAAUUGGGAGCCAGAUAACGGUACAGACGGACAUCCUUGUUGUAUUUGAAGAAUAAUUUUUCUGAGUCUUUUGGCGGGAAAUGUGGGUAUGGCCCACUUGAUGUUCUCUCUACCUUACUUUAAGAUGUCAUGAAAAAUGACCAUCUCCAGCAAGAGCCAUUGAAAAAUGUCAACCUUGGAAUGAACGAAAAACUGGGGGUCGAUCCGCCACCGUCCCCCACCACACCCACCUCUUAUAGACAGUUGUUUUGUAAUUUGAGACAAGUUCAUCCUUAUGGUGAAACUACAUCUUUAUUACGAACACAUGCGUAUUGUAAGACACAUGCUUAUUACGAUAUGUCGUACCACAAUGUUAAACUUGUC
Long non-coding RNA from Pocillopora damicornis (cauliflower coral), 1062 nucleotides. NCBI's taxonomy places the organism in Eukaryota, Metazoa, Cnidaria, Anthozoa, Scleractinia, Pocilloporidae. The record is from RefSeq and is a predicted model, not a curated record.